AAGUCGUAACAAGGUAACCGUAGGUGAACCUGCGGUUGGAUCAUUAAACAAACCAAGGUGGAGGGUGGACGGCUUGCCGUGCACUCUCGGAACGCCACACAUCUUGUGAACCCUCAAACCCGUCCGGCGGGGGAGGGAUGGGAGGCCUCUCCGGUCUUCCGUCUCUCCGUCAGCACAGGCAACCUCGGUUGUUUUGUGCCGUGGACAACCCGCCCACCCAACCCCAGAGACUGUUUUCCCGGGAACUGUUUCCCGGGAAGAUGGUCUAAGGGGUUGAUUUUGACCAACUUUUUGGAUCUUUACGAAUUGUGAAUUGCUUCUGAGAAUGCGAUGGUGCAAUUGCGCCGUCUAUUUGGAAACAAACAUUCAAAAACAACUUUUGGCAACGGAUCUCUUGGCUCUC
RNAcentral lists this unclassified non-coding RNA (403 nucleotides) under fungal sp. Its description in RNAcentral is "partial internal transcribed spacer region". The stretch from base 1 to 46 matches the Rfam family "Eukaryotic small subunit ribosomal RNA", at positions 1786 to 1831 of the family's 1831-position model. Lineage: Eukaryota; Fungi. The record is from RNAcentral. RNAcentral also lists the same sequence under 1 other name.